GGUUAAGCGACUAAGGUACACGUGAUGCCCGGCAGUCAGAAAGCGAUGAAGGGCGUGCUAUCUGCGAUAAGCGCCGCGCGUAAGGAUAUGAACCGCCAUAACCGCGAUACCCGAAUAGAAACCCAGUGUGACUCAAGGUCACACUAUCAUUAACUGAAUCCAUAGGUUAAUAUCGAGGCGAACCGGGGAACUGAAACAUCUAAGUACCCCGGAGGAAAAGAAAUCAACCGGAGAUCUCCCCAGAAGCGGCGAGCGAACGGGGAUGGUCUAAGAGCCCGAAUCAGCAUGUGUUAGUGGGAAGCGUCUGAAAGGCGCGCGAUACAGGUGACAGCCCCGUACACAAAGCGCAUGUGCUGUGAGAGCUCGAUGAGUAGGGCGGACACGUGGUAUCCUGUCUGAAUAUAAAGCAUCCUCCAAGGCUAAAUACCCCACUGACCGAUAGUGAACCAGUACCGUGGAGGGAAAGGCGAAAAAGAACCCGGCGAGGGGAGUGAAAAGAACCUGAAACCGUGUACGCAAUAAGCAGGGAGCACAGGUUUACCUGUGUGACUGCACCUUUUGUGGCAAUGGGUCAGCGACUAUAUUCUGUAGCAAGGUUAACCGUAUAGGGAGCCGGAGGGAAAACCGAGUCUUAACCGGGCGUUAAGUUGCAGGGUAUAGACCCGAAACCCGGUGAUUCAGCCAUGGGCAGGAAGGUUGGCAACACUAACUGGAGCACCCGAAACCGACUAAUGCUGAAAAAUUAGCGGAUGACCUGUGGCUGGGGUGAAAGGGCCAAUCGCGGGGAGAUAGCUGGUUCCUCCCGAAAGCUGGUUUAGUAGCGCCUCGUGAAUUCAUCUCCGGGGUAAGCGCAAAUACUUCGGCUAGGCCAUCCCGGCUUACCAACCCGGGAUGCAAACUGCGAAUACCGGAGAAUGCUAUCACGGAGACACACGGCGGGUGCUAACGUCCGUCGUGAAGAGGGAAACAAACCCAGACCGCCACAGCUAAGGUCCCAAAGUCAUGGUUAAGUGGGAAACGAUGUGGAAGGCCCAGACAGCCGUGAUGUUGGCUUAGAAGCAGCCAUCAUUUAAAAGAAAGCGUAAUAGCUCACUGGUCGAACGGCCUGCGCGGAAGCAAGAUGUAACGGGGUUAAACCAUGCACCGAAGGGUGGCAUGAACGUAUCACUCUAAAGCGAUUCAGGGAUGACGAUUGACGGAGCGAAGCGACGUCAAAGCGUGUAUACAAAGUCGAGUCGGUUUAAGGAUACGUUCGUUGCGGGGAGCGUUCGUGCUUCCGCGAAGGUGGCCUGUGAGGGUUGCUGGAGGUAUCAGAAGUGCGAAUGCUGACAUAAGUAACGAUAAAGCGGGUGAAAAGCCCGCUCGCCGGAAGACCAAGGGUUCCUGUCCAACGUUAAUCGGGGCAGGGUGAGUCGACCCCUGCUGGGCGAGGGCCGAAAGGCGUAGUCGAUGGGAAACGGUUAAUAUUCCCGUACUUGGUGUUACUGCGAAGGGGGGGACGGAGAAGGUUGGCGUUGGCCGGGCGACGGUUGUCCCGGUUUAAGCGUGUAGGUGUGUGUUCCGUAAAAUCCGGUUCACUUAACACUGAGUAAGGCGUGACGACGAGGCACUACGGUGCUGAAGCAACAAAAUGCCCCGCUUCCGUGAAAGCCUCUGCCAGGUAACAUCAAAUCGUACCCCAAACCGACACAGGUGGUCGGUGGCAGAGAAUACCAAGGCGCUUUGAGGCAGAACUCGGGUGAAGGAACUAGGGCAAAUGGUGCUGUAACUUCGGGAGAAGGCACGCUGACAUGUAGAAGUGAUUUACUCAUGGAGCUGAAGUCAGUCGAAGAUACCAGCUGGCUGCAACUGUUUAUUAAAACAAUACACUGUGCAAACACGAAAGUGGACGUAUACGGUGUGACGCCUGCCCGGUGCCGGAAGGUUAAUUGAUGGGGUCAGCGCAAGCGAAGCCCUGAUCGAAGCCCCGGUAAACGGCGGCCGUAACUAUAACGGUCCUAAGGCAGAAGCGAAAUUCCCUUUGUCGGGUAAGUUCCUGACCUGCACGUGAAUGGCGUAAUGAUGGCCGUAAAGCUGUCUCCACCCGAGACUCAGUGAAAUUGAACUCGCUGUGAAGAUGCAGCGUACCCGCGGCAAGACGGAAAGACCCCGUGAACCUUUACUAUAGCUUGACACUGACAUUGAGCCUUGGAUGUGUAGGGAUAGGUGGAGAGGCUUUGAAGUGUGGACGCCAGUCUGCAUGGAGCCACCUUUGAAAUACCACCCUUAAUGUUUGAUGUUCUAACGUGGACCCGUAAUCCGGGUUGCGGACAGUGUCUGGUGGGUAGUUUGAUCAGCGGUCUCCUCCUAAAGAGUAAACGGAGGAGCACGAAGGUUGGCUAAUCCGGUCGGACAUCAGGAGGUUAGUGCAAUGGCAUAAGCCAGCUUGACUGCGAGCGUGACGGCGCGAGCAGGUGCGAAAGCAGGUCAUAGCGAUCCGCGUGGUUCUGAAUGGAAGGGCCAUCGCUCAACGGACAAAAGGUACCUGGGAUACAGGCCGAUACCGCCCAAGAGUUAUAUCGACGGCGUGUUUGGCACCCGAUGUCGGCUCAUCACAUCCUGGGCUGAAGUAGGUCCCAAGGGUAUGGCUGUUCGCCAUUUGUGCGGUACGCGAGCUGGGUUUGAACGUCGUGAGACAAAGUUCGGUCCCUACCCCUAUCUGCCGUGGGCGCUGGAGAACUGAGGGGGCUGCUCUAGUACGAAGGACCGGAGUGGACGCAUCACUGGUGUUCGGGUUGUCAUGCAAUGGCACUGCCCGGUAGCUAAAUGCGGAAGAGAUAAGUGCUGAAAGCAUCUAAGCACAGAAACUUGCCCCAGAUGAGUUCUCCCUGAGACUUUAGGUCUCCUGAAGGAGCGACCGAAGACGACGACGUUGAUAGGCCCGGGUGUGUAAGCGCAGCGUGUGCGUUGAAGCUUAACCGGUACUAAUGAACAGAGGCAACACA
This 2984-nucleotide ribosomal RNA is filed under the name Salmonella enterica subsp. enterica. RNAcentral describes it as "23S ribosomal RNA". It matches the Rfam family "Bacterial large subunit ribosomal RNA". Lineage: Bacteria; Pseudomonadati; Pseudomonadota; Gammaproteobacteria; Enterobacterales; Enterobacteriaceae. The record is from RNAcentral.